UUAAAAAGCUCGUAGUUGGAUUUCUGGUACGUCAGUGCUGACCCUGUUCCAUUAUGGAUAUGUGUGUCGGUCUUUGACUACCAUCCUUCCAGAGAACUCGUUCUAUCCCUUCACUGGGCCGGGACAGCGAUCUGGAACUUUUACUCUGAAAAAAUUAGAGUGCUCAAAGCAGGCUUGCGCUAUGAAUACAUUAGCAUGGAAUAAUAACCUAGGACUCCGGUUCUAUUUUAUUGGUUUCUAGAACUGGUUUAAUGAUUGAUAGGGAUAGUUGGGGGUGCUAGUAUUCAGCGGCCAGAGGUGAAAUUCUUGGAUUCGCUGAAGACUAACUUAUGCGAAAGCAUUCACCAAGGAUGUCUUCUUUAAUCAAGAACGAAAGUUGGGGGAUCGAAGACGAUCAGAUACCGUCGUAGUCUCAACCAUAAACUAUACCGACUAAGGAUGAGUGAACGUUGCAUAUUCGACUUCAUUCGCACUUUAUGAGAAAUCAAAGUCUUUAGGUUCUGGGGGGAGUAUGGUCGCAAGGCUGAAACUUAAAGGAAUUGACGGAGGGCACCACCAGGAGUGGA
RNAcentral lists this ribosomal RNA (566 nucleotides) under uncultured marine eukaryote. RNAcentral's name for it is "bacterial SSU rRNA". It matches the Rfam family "Eukaryotic small subunit ribosomal RNA", at positions 619 to 1180 of the family's 1831-position model. The record is from RNAcentral.